Gymnogyps californianus (California condor) is the source of this 1234-nucleotide long non-coding RNA. RefSeq lists it as uncharacterized. Lineage: Eukaryota; Metazoa; Chordata; Aves; Accipitriformes; Cathartidae. The transcript has 4 exons. The record is from RefSeq and is a predicted model, not a curated record.
AAACCAUCUACAUGGCUGCCUGAUUUUCUGCUUCUUUAGCACUAGGGUUUGCUGGGCUAUACAAAUGUUGCCUUGUUGUCAUUCCUAUAGCCAAUAUGUUUCUCCUGCUUGGUAAGGGAACAAGUCUUUUCCACUUACCUGCGAGAACAGCAUACUCAAGAUGGAAGUGAUUCGCUGUCAUCUCUCAUUUGGAAGAUCCUCCUCAUUGUGGAUGUCCUAACCCUUCUAUCCCCACGCAGAACAUCCAGGCCUGUGCAUACUGCUUUGUCAUGGAUACCCGUGCUUAUCCAUGAACUUCGUUCAAACAGAACCUAAACAAUCACAUACCUACACAGAGAAAAAUUCUCUUUUCAUCAAAAGAGCUGAAUCUUUUUAUCAAAAGAGCUCCUCUCGGUCUCUGCAGAAGCUUGUUUGCUCAAGCACAGUAAUACACAGCCAAAUGUCAACAUAGCUGCAGCAUUUGGGGGGAGGAGGAUCCUUUUUUCCCCAGAAGAGAAGUCUCCUGCAGUAGACUGAAUGCCUUGGUCUUGUGACCUUGUGGAAAUGAAGGACCCCCAGGAAAUUUCCAGGUUCAGUCCCGUUUCCCAACUGCUCCAGCAUUGGUGGUCAUGGCCAAAGGACCGACUGACUGCCUACCUGCUGGCUGCCAGCUCCUCUCCCUCUCCUAGGAGAAGUCAAAGCAUCAGAUUGGAAGUAAAUCAACACAAAAUAAAGUAUCAAGUAAGGAUUCAAGCUUCCUGCCCCCCUGUUCCACCUACGCUGUAGAUAUUUCCCAGCCCGUGCCCUAUGGGUUCCCAAUUUUUGAUGGAAAACACAGGCUGAUCUUGAAAUGUGACAGCGAUUCAGAGGGAGGAAGGAGAGACUGCCAGAUGGCUCUGCUUUGCACCUUCUUCAGUUUGCAGGAUAACGCUUCGUGAUUUACCAUAAAUUUAUCAUUUUCGCCCAUCUCUGUGCUGUGGAAUGAAGCUAAACUUUUGGCCUCUUGGCUCCAUCUUUCCACUGCAGCAUAAAACUGUGAAGCGAUUCCACUGGGGCAUGGUGGGCCACUAAUCUUCACGCAGGGAGACAGCGGGAUGUACUGUGCUUUCAGAUCUGUGUUUCAUCCUCCUCCUCUGUCCUUCUUCUGGCCUCUCUUCAGAACUUCCACAGAGAAAAUUUUAACCAUGUUCUUAUUCACUUUCCACACUGUAACUAAUAGGAGUGUGAUAAUGUCACAUUAUGUGAUUUUUUUUUU